RNAcentral lists this ribosomal RNA (209 nucleotides) under uncultured bacterium. RNAcentral's name for it is "partial 16S ribosomal RNA". It matches the Rfam family "Bacterial small subunit ribosomal RNA", at positions 1295 to 1500 of the family's 1533-position model. The record is from RNAcentral.
GGAUCGCAGUCUGCAACUCGACUGCGUGAAGGUGGAGUCGCUAGUAAUCGCGGAUCAGCAACGCCGCGGUGAAUGCGUUCCCGGGCCUUGUACACACCGCCCGUCAAGUCAUGAAAGUGGGCAGCACCCGAAGACGGUGGCCUAACCCUUGUGGGGGGGAGCCGUCUAAGGUGAGGCUCGUGAUUGGGACUAAGUCGUAACAAGGUACC